ACGGAAGGCAGCAGUGGGGAAUAUUGCACAAUGGGCGCAAGCCUGAUGCAGCGACGCCGCGUGAGUGAAGAAGUAUUUCGGUAUGUAAAGCUCUAUCAGCAGGGAAGAAAAAUGACGGUACCUGACUAAGAAGCACCGGCUAAAUACGUGCCAGCAGCCGCGGUAAUACGUAUGGAGCAAGCGUUAUCCGGAUUUACUGGGUGUAAAGGGUGUGUAGGCGGCGAAGUAAGUCAGAAGUGAAAGACCGGGGCUCAACUCCGGGGCUGCUUUUGAAACUGCAUUGCUGGAGUCCAGGAGAGGCAGGCGGAAUUCCUAGUGUAGCGGUGAAAUGCGUAGAUAUUAGGAAGAACACCGGUGGCGAAGGCGGCCUGCUGGACUGGUACUGACGCUGAGGCACGAAAGCGUGGGGAGCAAACAGGAUUAGAUACCCUGGUA
Molecule: ribosomal RNA, 435 nt
Filed under: uncultured Lachnospiraceae bacterium
Lineage: Bacteria; Bacillati; Bacillota; Clostridia; Lachnospirales; Lachnospiraceae
Description: partial 16S ribosomal RNA
Rfam family: Bacterial small subunit ribosomal RNA
Source: RNAcentral